UACAGAGGGUGCAAGCGUUGCUCGGAAUCAUUGGGCGUAAAGGGCAGGUAGGUGGUCUCAUUUGUCAGAGGUGAAAGCCUUGGGCUUAACCCAAGAAGUGCCUCUGAAACGGUGGGACUAGAGUGCUGGAGAGGGUCGUAGAAUUCCCGGUGUAGCGGUGAAAUGCGUAGAGAUCGGGAGGAAUACCAGAGGCGAAGGCGGCGACCUGGACAGUGACUGACACUCAACUGCGAAAGCGUGGGGAGCAAACAGG
RNAcentral lists this ribosomal RNA (253 nucleotides) under uncultured bacterium. RNAcentral describes it as "partial 16S ribosomal RNA". It matches the Rfam family "Bacterial small subunit ribosomal RNA", at positions 524 to 776 of the family's 1533-position model. The record is from RNAcentral.